GACGAACGCUGGCGGCGUGCUUAACACAUGCAAGUCGAACGGAAAGGCCCUGCUUUUGUGGGGUGCUCGAGUGGCGAACGGGUGAGUAACACGUGAGUAACCUGCCCUUGACUUUGGGAUAACGUCAGGAAACUGGGGCUAAUACCGGAUAGGAGCUCCUGCUGCAUGGUGGGGGUUGGAAAGUUUCGGCGGUUGGGGAUGGACUCGCGGCUUAUCAGCUUGUUGGUGGGGUAGUGGCUUACCAAGGCUUUGACGGGUAGCCGGCCUGAGAGGGUGACCGGCCACAUAGGGACUGAGCUAGGGCCCAGACUCCUCCGGGAGGCAGCAGUGGGGAAUAGUGCACAAUGGGCGGAAGCCUGAUGCAGCAACGCCGCGUGCGGGAUGACGGCCUUCGGGUGGUAGCCCGCUUUCGCCUGUGACGAAGCGUGAGUGACGGUAAUGGGUACAGAAGCACCGGCUAACUACGUG
This 468-nucleotide ribosomal RNA is filed under the name uncultured bacterium. Its description in RNAcentral is "partial 16S ribosomal RNA". It matches the Rfam family "Bacterial small subunit ribosomal RNA", at positions 28 to 507 of the family's 1533-position model. The record is from RNAcentral.